AUACGGGAGGCAGCAGUGGGGAAUUUUCCGCAAUGGGCGAAAGCCUGACGGAGCAAUACCGCGUGAGGGACGACGGCUUUUGGGUUGUAAACCUCUUUUCCCUGGGAAGAAGAUCUGACGGUACUAGGGGAAUCAGCAUCGGCUAACUUCGUGCCAGCAGCCGCGGUAAUACGAGGGAUGCAAGCGUUAUCCGGAAUUAUUGGGCGUAAAGCGUCCGCAGGUGGCUCUGUAAGUCUGUCGUUAAAGCGUGGAGCUUAACUCCAUAUCGGCGAUGGAAACUACAAGGCUAGAGUUUGGUAGGGGUCACGGGAAUUCUUAGUGUAGCGGUGAAAUGCGUAGAUAUUAAGAAGAACACCAGCGGCGAAAGCGCGUGACUGGGCCAAUACUGACACUCAUGGACGAAAGCUAGGGGAGCGAAAGGGAUUAGAUACCCCGU
Molecule: ribosomal RNA, 436 nt
Filed under: uncultured bacterium
Lineage: Bacteria
Description: bacterial SSU rRNA
Rfam family: Bacterial small subunit ribosomal RNA
Source: RNAcentral